GAUGAACGCUGGCGGCGUGCCUAAUACAUGCAAGUCGAGCGAACAGAUGAGAAGCUUGCUUCUCUGAUGUUAGCGGCGGACGGGUGAGUAACACGUGGGUAACCUACCUAUAAGACUGGGAUAACUCCGGGAAACCGGGGCUAAUACCUGAUAAUAUUUUGAACCGCAUGGUUCAAUAGUGAAAGACGGCUUCGGCUGUCACUUAUAGAUGGACCCGCGCCGUAUUAGCUAGUUGGUAAGGUAAUGGCUUACCAAGGCGACGAUACGUAGCCGACCUGAGAGGGUGAUCGGCCACACUGGAACUGAGACACGGUCCAGACUCCUACGGGAGGCAGCAGUAGGGAAUCUUCCGCAAUGGGCGAAAGCCUGACGGAGCAACGCCGCGUGAGUGAUGAAGGUCUUAGGAUCGUAAAACUCUGUUGUUAGGGAAGAACAAAUU
This 439-nucleotide ribosomal RNA is filed under the name uncultured bacterium. Its description in RNAcentral is "bacterial SSU rRNA". It matches the Rfam family "Bacterial small subunit ribosomal RNA", at positions 28 to 455 of the family's 1533-position model. The record is from RNAcentral.